GUGCUUGCUACAGCAGCACAUAUACAAAAAUUGGAUCGAUACAGAGAAGAUUAGCAUGGCCCCUGGCGCAAGGAUGACAUGCAUAAUCGUGAAGCAUUUUAAUUAAAA
Molecule: small nuclear RNA, 108 nt
Organism: Neoarius graeffei (lesser salmon catfish)
Lineage: Eukaryota; Metazoa; Chordata; Actinopteri; Siluriformes; Ariidae
Source: RefSeq, a predicted model, not a curated record